This 539-nucleotide ribosomal RNA is filed under the name Staphylococcus aureus. Its description in RNAcentral is "partial 23S ribosomal RNA". It matches the Rfam family "Bacterial large subunit ribosomal RNA", at positions 614 to 1152 of the family's 2925-position model. The record is from RNAcentral. Lineage: Bacteria; Bacillati; Bacillota; Bacilli; Caryophanales; Staphylococcaceae.
AAUGAACCGGCGAGUUACGAUUUGAUGCAAGGUUAAGCAGUAAAUGUGGAGCCGUAGCGAAAGCGAGUCUGAAUAGGGCGUUUAGUAUUUGGUCGUAGACCCGAAACCAGGUGAUCUACCCUUGGUCAGGUUGAAGUUCAGGUAACACUGAAUGGAGGACCGAACCGACUUACGUUGAAAAGUGAGCGGAUGAACUGAGGGUAGCGGAGAAAUUCCAAUCGAACCUGGAGAUAGCUGGUUCUCUCCGAAAUAGCUUUAGGGCUAGCCUCAAGUGAUGAUUAUUGGAGGUAGAGCACUGUUUGGACGAGGGGCCCCUCUCGGGUUACCGAAUUCAGACAAACUCCGAAUGCCAAUUAAUUUAACUUGGGAGUCAGAACAUGGGUGAUAAGGUCCAUGUUCGAAAGGGAAACAGCCCAGACCACCAGCUAAGGUCCCAAAAUAUAUGUUAAGUGGAAAAGGAUGUGGCGUUGCCCAGACAACUAGGAUGUUGGCUUAGAAGCAGCCAUCAUUUAAAGAGUGCGUAAUAGCUCACUAGUCGA